AGCAAUGUUGGCUCAGUGGUUAAAAUGUUGGCCUUCUGAUCAGAAGGUUGUGAAUUCAAAUCUCAGCAAUGCCA
Pangasianodon gigas (Mekong giant catfish) is the source of this 74-nucleotide non-coding RNA. The record is from the annotation of a GenBank genome assembly. NCBI's taxonomy places the organism in Eukaryota, Metazoa, Chordata, Actinopteri, Siluriformes, Pangasiidae.